AGCUAACGCGUAACGAGUAUUAACGAUUAUUUCCUACGACAAAGCCUAACGAGUACAAACGACCGCGCGGAAAACUGUCGUCGCCAUUUUCCUGACUGAUGCAUACCCUGUUUUUUUUUUUGUUUUUUUUUUCUCUUCAUUUUCUGUUCGCUAAAAGCUGCUCCAAAGGUCGGCAAGCGAUCCAAAAUCGAAUGAUAUUUCGUGUAAAAUAUAAUCGUACGGUAGUCGGAAACUUGCGAGGUAACACGAGGGGUCAGAAGGGUAUUUUUAAACGUCGAGUAAUUUUCGAUUCAACAUCGAUGGAUUUCUUUUUCCCGAUUCAUUAACCUUUUUGUUUUGUUUUGUUUUGUUUUGUUUGUUUGUUUUUUUUUUCUAUUUAUUUAUUCAUUUACUUCUGUUUGCGUAGGUGCGCAGUGUAGGUAGUCAUUGUUUUGUGGUCCGCUUUAAUUUAAAAGCUUUGAAAUGAGGGUCGGAAAAUUUACGAACACACCGAACAAUUGGUAGAGAAUUGAAACUGAAAUACAAGGGCUCUCGUCUACAUGGUAUAUAUAAUAGGGUGGCAGCGAUUGUUUGUAAAACGCAUUGAAAGCGGAGCCGCCUUAACAAAGCUCAUCAAUUAGCGACUUAUUCUCAGGGGGGUAAGUCGAGUGGACAGGCGGUGAGAAAGUUUGAUAAAAUAAUAAAAAAUUUUAAGAACCGCAGCCGCUGUAAACGAUAACGCGGAACGAAAGGAGGAAAGAAAGGACAGCGGAGAGAACGAAAUAAGAUAAAAUUGAAAGCAUGAAGUGAACUGUAAGACAAACGUCGUAUAUAUACGAGAACGAUGACUGGGAAAAUAUCCAGCUGAAAAUUGUACCAUGAGAAAGGAAAUAUUGCUGAAAUUGUAAGAAUUCGUGUACUCUACGGAUGAUACAAUAACGGAGUCAGCGAAAAUAAUACAUCGUUCGAGCUCCACUCGCUUAUAUAUAUCCAUAUAUCGAUGUAUAAUGCAGAAAAACUGAAAGUGCUGUCGUCUUAUUCAACAGUUUUCACUUUUUCCGAGAUUUCUUGCACACUAUUUCCCCCCUCUCUCUCUCUCUCUCUCUCUCUCUCUCUCCGUCUCCGAUCAAUAACCCGCGGCGAUGACGAACGUUCAACGACCAUUCCACCCGCGAACAGAGAUACUCGUACCUACUCCAACAAAAUAACUGACAUAAUCAACGAUUUCCGAGUUGUGGACAUGGGAAGAAACUUCCUGCACGGUGCUAUUCUUGAUAGGAAAACCGCGAGCGAGCGGCACCGGCACCGGCACCGGCACCGGCACCGGUACCAGCAGCCAAGAGUAGAAUUCUCUCGGUAAUACCAACGGCGAUGCUAACAAUGAUAAUCCUACAGGAGCUCUCCAGAAUUGUUCACACGACUCUACCCGCCUGGUUUUACUUCCCUGUCGCUUACGCCCGAAUGUUUCCGCUUGAUGCGCCAACGAUUCGCGCAAAAGUUUGCUAAUUAAUGAGACUCGCAAUUAACUGGAAUGCAACUCACCACCGCGGCCACGCUACCCCCUUUUCCGAAAGCUCAGCUUUGCCCGGUAUUACCCUAUGUACGUACGUAUGUAUAUUUGUACGUACCUACUCCACUCCGCGCCACACUUAAUCGCAUUUUAUUCUCAUUCUGCUUUCAAUUUUUUUCGUACGCCCGCAGAUCCUCGCCGGCCACAUACCUACCCCUGGCCUUCGUCGAGGUCCCAAAAUAAAUCUCCGAAUCACGUCUUUGAAAUCGGGUCCAUUUCAAAAUUUACAUCUCGACCACACUCGCGGGAGAACCGGUAUAGAUUGGGCGUCACCGUUGCUUCACGCCCUUGUUUCGCACGUCGAGUGCGUCUAAGAAGGGAGAAGAAAGAAAAGAAAAAAAGAAAAAAAAAAAAAAGGAAGAGAAGAGAAGGGAAGGGAGGCAGAAGAAGAAACUGAAGCGGUAUAGAAUGUGGGGAUCAGGAGUUCCAAGGUAUACGAGAAUAACGCAGCUUGGCGAAGCCGGGGCCCUUUAUGGCUUUUGUUUUCCCUUUAUUUUAGCGAUGCCGUAAACCGAUCGUAACGAGCAAAUAAUCGCCAUCAUUUAGUAUAGAAAACUCGUUGAAAUUGCUUCGUCGAAAAACUUUUAUCGUCGAGUGCGCUUCGCGAGCAAGCCAGACGUUCGAAUCCCCCCCCCCGUUACAGCUGCUUCACUCAGCAACUCACCGAGGCUCACACUCUCCUGUACCCCGCAUCCCUUUCGUCCUUCAAACUCGCGAUUUCGCACCGAAAAAAAUCACAUAUUUCACCCUCGAUCUUUUUAUUCUUAACGGUGCUAUUUUCUUCUUUUUUUUUUUUCCCCUCCAUGAAUUUUUCCAAAUACCUGCGCGGAAGGAAAAAAAUUCGGAAAAAUAGAAUCACAUUCUGAAAUUUCAUUUUUGCUUUUAUUGCUCACAAUCGUACAAUUGGUGACUUUGAUUCCCAAUUUUUCGGCAGCUACGAUACAUAUGUAUACAUUUCUUUCUCAAGCUAAGAACUAAAAAUAAGUCCGUAGACGCGUUUAUAUCGUAUUUGACAGUUCGGUCAUUUAUUUGAGUCAGAAGAUAGAGUUGUUGCAGUUUCCAAAGACUUGGGGGAUUCGCUCGUGAGAUUCAACUGGCCGGCAUUGAUGGAUAACGUUUGUCGCGCGUAUACUGUACGUAAAACUCUCGGACUAUUCGAUGAAAACAAAAAAAAAAAAAAUCAUCAACAACGAGCAGCCAACAAUUGAAAAAUAAUUAAUCGAGAUUACUCCGCGAUUUUAAUUAAAAUUAGGAGAUCGCAAAGAGAGACCUGUGUAACUCGGUGUAUAUUUUCGGUCCGUCAUCAGAGCGUCUGCUGUAGGGUAGGUUUUUAAGGUUCCACCUCUGGUUUUGUGGAACACGCUAUCUCGCGUGCUAAUAGUGGUGGUUCUGUGAAGUACUUCUUGGAGUUGUUAACUCCCCGAAAUUACGUCGCUCGGACAUUUCGCUGCAAUGUUUGGGAAAGGUUCGUUCUAUCCUACGUUAUACGCUCGUACAUACAUACACACGUACGUUAUACCGGUUUCUAGUCAUCGCGGAAAUCGCAAUAACUUCUUUGAAACUAGACGUCAAAAAGUUUUUCCGCUCAUGGAUUAUAAAUGCGAGACUGAGACGAUGUGUGCGUCCGAAUCAACCCCUCGAAAAUUCAUCAACCUUUGAAGUUUUCGAUAGCGUGCAACCGUGUCCACUGAAAAAAAGGAGAUAAGUUUUUUUUUAUCUCAAAUUGCGAAAUUUUUUAAUGUAACAAGUUACGUAUUCAUGCAUUUACCGAUAUAUUCUCGUACGAGAGCUCACAUUCUCAUGGAACAGGUUACACGUUGUACAUAUGUGGGAAGGAAGAUAACGGAGCAACGCGAAAAGUGGGAAGUAUACCUAUAGGAAUAAUUUUUUCGAGUCCAACGUAUCCCUGAAUAACAGCGGAUCUUCGUAUCGUCUACACGCUACCGCGGGCAUCGUGCGUGCUACACGACUUCUUUGCAUCUGAACGAUCCGGAAAAGUUCCGCUUUCAAAUGUUUAUCGAAAAUCGUUCCAUAUUGCUUUUGCUCUCCUUUUCUUUUCUUUUUUUUUUCUUCUUUUUUUUUUUGUCAUUUUUUGCAUGCCCCUCGAUCGGGCGGGACCCGCGACUCCGCGACGUUUCCUCGUGAAAAAGCUCAAAUUAUUGAUAGGAUCACGUCUUCUGUAUCCUUUGUCCCUCUAGCGAUAUUCCCGAUAUUCCCGGGAAAGAAAAAAAUAGAUACCUACGUAUCUAAGCGUACGCAUACCCACUUCGAAACGAAAUAAGAUAGUUUCCUAUACAAAUGUAAUAGCCGGGCUUCGAAAAAAGCGAUAUCAGGGAUUCUUUCUCUUCCGGUUCGAUUUCCGAUCCGGUUUUCUCUCCCGCUUUUCGAUUCGGAAUGAUUUAUUCGUCGGGCAUCGAGACUUUUCACAUCAAUUAAGUUCGUUAACAGGUAUAAUUAUACACCUACGUGACAAUCCAUUCACUGUAUACCUUCCGUCGAAUUUCUGCAGCAUAAUUUAUUCGUUUGGAUAUUUUUUGUAUUUUCCGUUUCCACGUUCUACUCCACCUCCGUUUUACCAUUUUUUUCCCUUCGCGUCACCGACCGACAUUUGGCUUCAUGAAAGUUGGAGGAUGUAGCUUUGCCUGCUCGGGUGUACCUAAACUAAUACCAAAGUACACGUGUCACUCCGUAAAGGCUUAACAGUCGAGCGAAGGAUGACUAACCUGAGGCAGGAAGUAAUUAAGAAGACUUGGCUGACAGAAACGUUCAUCCCUCUGCAACCACGUGGUGAUACCUUGCCAUCCUAUACGUUAAGCUCUUUUGGGUAUGUCUAAAACCGUAUCCAGCGCACACAAAGUAGAUGGGUGUAUACAUCUAUAUACCUAUAGAACCACCUCGUUAAACUUCCCCGGGCACAGGGCGAACUUACCCUAAAUAAAAUACAAUGAAAUAAAAUAAAAUCGUACGACCUUUUUGUUUUACGGUAUCACAUUUAUUUUCACCGAUAUCGACUGAGAGAGCGUAGAGAUAAAAAAAGAUAAAAACCGAAUCGAAAUAUCUCGCAGCAAGACGAAAAAAAUAACGAAAGAUGAUGAAAUUCUAUAAAUUGCCUGACCUGCAGCGAUUCCCGUGAACUGGGUCACCCCGUAUACACACGGAUAUUUUAUUUAAACCGACGUAGUCGUAACCCCACAGCGUCGAGGUAUUACGGUAUUUGAGUACCAUUUUUUUAUUACAGAAAAAGCACCCCCUCCCGGAUAUAUAUAUGUAUACAUAUAUAUUUUUUUUGACGCCUCGGAGCUGAAUAUUCGCCUCGUAGCGGAGAAAGCCUUGACGUACGUCUUGUGACCUGUAUAAAAACGAGAAGUGGGAUCAUAAAUCCGAUCGGGAAUCUAUACGCGGAGGGCUCAAGUGUCACCGAAAACUAGGUAUAGUACAGUAGCUCGUAUCAGACCAUGCUCCAGGUGGAAAAUGAUCCGCGGAAGACGACGGGGAGGGUCGGAGCUUGGCGCACGACGAUUUCGAAUCAGAGCACGUAUAUAUAAGGAGAGGGUAGGGGGAACAUCGCGCCCUUAACCCGUUCUCCAGUUUUCGCUCACCUCUCAAACCCUUUCUUUCCUACCCUCUCCGGCGAAAGCUCGGUCUACAACUUGACUGAACAUUCCCCCCCCCCCCCCUCCCCCCUUUCUUUUAUUCUUCUUCCCUUACUUUUUCUUCUCUUUAUUUUUUAUUUUUUCUCUCCUCCUUUCGGGAUUAGCCACAAUUGGCAAAAGUGGCGAGUGGGAAGAUACCCAAUUUAGCAAAUCAGUGGCAACGGUUGUAAUGUUAUUAUUUUUAUCAUGAGGAAAAAUAUAUAUUUCGACCGGAGGUUCCGAAGGUACGAGAUAAAUUCGUAAGGAAAAAUGAAAGGGGAUUUUACCGAAUGCUCGAAUGACCGGGGCAGGCGAGCAAAUUUACCUUCGAGAGGUAUAGAGGGGGGGGGGGGGGGGGGGGGGGUUGGUCGGUUGGUUGAGGGAUGCAAGAAAAGAGCAGCGGGGCGUAAUCCGGUAAAUUAACUUGUUCGCAACUUGAUAAUAUGCGGGUUAAACGCGGCGGGGUUUAUUUAUCAGCCAAAAAAAAAAGGGGCUGCCAUUUCCUACCUUAUCUAUAGUAAAAAACGAUUAUACGUAUAACCCGGGUCACCCGAUUAUAACUCAACCGAGUUAUUAUUCAGAUAUUACGAUGACUGUGCCGAAGAGAUCUACAUGUCAUUUCCACCGCGAUAAAAUAAUGAAUUAUUACACCAAUUUCGCGUUGGCCAAAACCCUGAAGUCCGGGGGAUAUUGCGACGACCGUAGGGGAGGAGGAUUCUUCUUCAAAUUCAUUGAUAAUUUUUUUCCCAUAUCCAUUUCCCUUGACCGGAUAAUCGACGAUUCGCUAAAGGUCGGCGUUGUUGACAUUCGAUUAUUUUACAAAACUUAUACGAUGCGACAAAUAAUGUGAUGUUAUUUCGCCACGCGACGACGACGACGACGGAACCGCUUAAUUAGAACGAGGUCCGAAUCCCUGGGCGUAUAAACGCCACACAUUUCGACAAAUAUCCCCGUCUAUCGGGUGAGGUGAAAAUCGGUAGCGGCAAAAAACGGGACCAAUUUUAAACCGAGUGAAAUUAUUUCUGGAAUACGAAAAAAAAUCAAUUAUUCGGUGAACUGGAAUGAUUCCUGCGUACAUAACGUCGUUCGAAUAUUAUUGACGAUCACCGUUGAGUAGUAGGCAUGAACUUGGCAUAUUCUUCUGAAUUCUUAAUGGCCACCCAGUUUGUAUUUGAGGCCGGAGAAUGACCAAGCCAAUUGUAGUCCGACCGUCGGAUAACUUCCCCGUAAUAACCCCGUUAAAACGAAAUGGAUCCCCCCGCGCUAUAGGUACGUACGUACGAACCGAUGAAAGUGCCGACCCCGCGCUACUGUGGGAACAAACCGUGUGCUCGAAGUAUAAGGUAGCAAAAGUUGCUUCAAGGCGGUUACCGCGAACGGUAGGUGCGUCUAUUUAUUCGGAAGGGAUAUGAAAAAAUGAGUUGAGAAAAAAGGUAUUAUAUCAGGAGGGGUGAAAAUUAUAAAUUUUUUUUUUCCGUUACGCUUAUUCGCAUUUUUGGUUGAGAAAUCGCAACGUCGUCGUCGUCGUCGUCGUCGUCGUCGUCGUCGUCGUCUCUAACUCUCGUAGGAAGAUCAUAUAUCAAUUCCAAGCUCGCACCGGGAGCCGCUUUUGUCCGAUACCGCCUGUUACCACCCCUUCCAGAAUAUUCCAGCGUCACCGUUCUCCUCCCGCAUCUCCGAUAAAUCGUGCGAAACGACCGUUUUGAGUGACAUUUUUUUUACGACCAACAACGUGUGCGAUCUACUUUUUAUUUUCUCUCGCGGACAGGUGAAAGGGAAUUUUGAUUAUCUCUUCGAUUUUGGUAUAUGCCGAAUUCGGUGAGCGCGUCCCUCGCGAAACUCCCUUCAUUAAAGUCAUUCAUAUUCAUCCGGAGUUAUCAAGGAGAUAAAAGUUUCGCGCGGAGCAUAUAUUUCUGCAGCUUUUGCAAUUCUUCAGUCUUUCCAGAUUCAUUCAUUGUGGACCUUUGCAGCAGUGAAUCGGAGAUUUUCCUAUUCAAACUUUAAUUAAUCCAGCUGCUGCUGCAGUUUCUCUACUUCGAAUAUCCUACCCGUACCCUUCAGAUUGCAUCUUCCAUCUUUUCUCAUACUGAUUGCCUUAUAGCUAAAGUUAUACCCAUCACUACUUAUUCCCCCCCCCCCCUACCACACCCCUUUUUUCGCAGUUAUCUCUCCCUCACAUACAGAUCAAGCGAAGUUUAUUUUCUGGUUCGAAUUCAAGUUUAGAAAUUACAAACAGUCACGUUAUACGUCAUAUUAUUAUAAUAUUUUAUAUAAGCCAACUAUACCAUCUCGUCAGCAUCUGGAUGAGCAUUCUAAUUGAGGUGAACAACGCGGGGAUUUCUGUACGUGUUAUAUUAUUGUAUGCGACUAAAAUAAUGAGAUAUGUUGGAGCUCGCAGCUUGCAGUUUGAACUACGGACAACCUUAACUCAUAUAACUGAAGUUGUCUACUAAGUUAAAAGUUUCUUCUACACCAGCUACGCUCGGAUAGGUCAUACUUCUUGGCAUUAUUCCUGGGCACUUAUUUAAUUAUGUCAAGUACUAAUUGUCUCUCACUCGCCCUCGUGUAAUUACACAUAGUGUAUACACCGAUCUCGUAAUAUAUCCGAGUGAAAUAAAUAGUAGAAAGAAAAUAGAAACUUGGCCAAUGAAAGAAGGACUUUGGUAAAUAUUUCUCAUUCCGUAAGAAUUUUUUGAAAUAGGAUCCCUUUGAUCGUAGCUAUGAACAUAUCGAUGUUCGAAUUGAGUUUCGAAAGUAGCGGGUAAAAAUGGAGUUCGAAAAAAUACGGUAACAUUUUCCAUAAAUGGAGCGACUGCAGGAGCACCGGGAUCAUGAUCUCGUAUAUAUAUAUAUAUAUAUACAGUGGAGUCCCGGAGGUUACGGGAGAGUUUGAUCAGCUCGGUAGAAGUGACGUCACGUGUGUAGGGUGGUCGAGAAUAUGAUAGGGGUUCAAAAUACGUGAGGAAAAUCGUUUACCGGUCAAACUACGUGUGUGUUAGAUUGUAUAGGUAAUACAAAUGUGUGCGGGGGCCUGGUUACGGGUACAUCGGAAACACCGGGUAACAAGCUUCGACCUAUGCAGCGGCGCAUUGGACUACGUGCAUUUCUCGAGAUACCGGCAACACACAAAAUGAAUAUUCCGCGUGCGUAUGCACAUACCGUCCCCCCUCCACACGACCGCGAACAUGGGCUUUUAAAACCGGACUCGGUCUCGCCCCCUCCGCCCCCCCCCCCCCCCCCCUCCUUUUUUCAUAUUCUAUAAUCUCGUUAAUGGCUUGAAUUCCGCGUAGAUACUAUACUUCAUUGGUAUCCGGUUUCCCCGCGGUUUGAUGUCGGAAUAACCGAUACCUUUGGACGGAAUCCCGAUACGAUAGCCGACUUUAUUCCGAGUCGACGAGUCGCGAAUAUAUUUAUUUUGUUUUUCGGCCGCUUGUAUUUUCUGUAUCUCGAUCUGGAAAAUACUUUACAUCCGUUUCGGUUCAGCAGCCGAGGAAGGCCGGGCGAGAUCUACGUUUAACGAAAAUUUCGCGUUUCAUUUCACCGCGGUAGAGGGUGGUAUAAAUAGCGAGGGGUGCCUCGCCGUGCCUCGGCAUAGUUGCGGUCGAUUAGAAACAUAAAACAAAUAGAAGGAUAAUUUCCCGGUAAGGCUGCGACGGGUAGAUAAGAGGCUACGUUGCUGCUUCGCGUACUUUUCGUGCGCUUUCUAAUCGACGUAGGAACAGAAGCUCCGGGUAUCUAUCUCGUGUAUACCUACCUAGGGCUGGCUUUUGGACAGGAGUGAUGCUAGUUUCGUUCGAUUUUAUUAUCAUGGUUUUUCUUUUUUUCUUUUUUUUUUUUUCCCUCUUUCUCGUUCCAUUCAGGAUCUUGCGACCCCGCGAAAAGAUUGGCCGUUUGUGCGGGUGAGGCAUAAAAAUGAAAGAAAAAAGGACGCACGAAGAGGAGAGGCAAAAGAUUUUUAAUUUUCUUUUUCGUUUUCCUGUUUUUUUUUUUUUUUUUUUUUUCUUUUUUGCUUUCUUUGAUUUUCUUUUCAUUCCUCUCCGCUUCCACCCCCUCCACCCUUCAUUUUUACGACGGUGUAUGUAUAAAAUACAAGACGAACGGAGCGCCGGGGCAUAUGGUGCCAUGUUACCAGAAAGCCAGUCAACCCCGACCCCAAUUCCCCCGUCGUCGAAGGCAGCCAUCCGCCAACCAGUCAGCUACUCAAAAUUCAACCCUCGCAGGAAAAAUCACGCAGUUGGAAACUUCGGUGUUGGAGGGGAAGCGAAAAAGGAAGGAACGAACGAGAAAAAAAAAUAAACGAAAAAUAGAGACUGGAAAAAAUAUCUACGUACACGUAUGUAUGUGUUAUCUGGAUCGUGAGCAACAGAUUUCUAUCCGUUCUUUGAUACUUACGGCUCAAUAUUAUUUUAUUUUCGUAAAAUCAUUCGACAUUUUUCGGAUUGAUUUUAUCGACACAUUCCGUUAUCCAGAUGAAACAGGCGCCAGGACCGUCUGUGAAGUAGGGUGGGACCCUACGGUCUUUGAGGCAGUUUUUGUACCACUUGAUCUCUUCUUCUUCUACAGUUUCUUCAUCCGAGGGCGAAAACUCCUUUUCGGCGUGCCGAGGCUGUGCGGAUUCUGUCCUUACGUUAGGGUCUCUCUUGAGCAACCCAUUAGAGUACAACGACCAGUCAAAGGACCUUCUACCGCCCUGGAUGAAAUUAAUCAACAAAUUUUUCAACUCCACGUCGUCAGAAACCCCGCUCGCGAAGUCUUGGUAACGAUCAAACUGGUUAAUCACCUGGAGAAGGACGAAAAUUGGUUCUCAAACGGUGGAGAAUGAGCGGCCUCGAUACAACUUUGCCCUGCAUCUGAAACGCAAGACUCAUCGAGAGAUCUGCAUAGUUGUGUAUCGACUAUUUGAAUGAGUUAUUAUAUACGUACAAUGCUCCAGUAUGAAAUUUUCAAUUGGAGGACUGUGGAAUGAUUAUUCUAAUGUUACUUAAGAAAGAAGUGAUGUCUUCACUAUUGUAACUCGUUAUAAUCAAAAGUAAAAAGAAAUGUCUGUUAAUAUUGAUCUAUAAGAUGUAUGACUAAAUCUUCACAUGCAUAUUGUACGUGAAUUUAUCAAUAAACAUGAACUACAAUGAA
Molecule: RNA transcript, 10311 nt
Organism: Athalia rosae (coleseed sawfly)
Lineage: Eukaryota; Metazoa; Arthropoda; Insecta; Hymenoptera; Athaliidae
Exons: 3
Source: RefSeq, a predicted model, not a curated record